This 492-nucleotide ribosomal RNA is filed under the name uncultured bacterium. RNAcentral's name for it is "partial 16S ribosomal RNA". It matches the Rfam family "Bacterial small subunit ribosomal RNA", at positions 29 to 507 of the family's 1533-position model. The record is from RNAcentral.
AGUGAACGCUGGCGGUAGGCCUAACACAUGCAAGUCGAACGGCAGCACAGUAAGAGCUCGCUCUUACGGGUGGCGAGUGGCGGACGGGUGAGGAAUACAUCGGAAUCUACUUUUUCGUGGGGGAUAACGUAGGGAAACUUACGCUAAUACCGCAUACGACCUACGGGUGAAAGCAGGGGAUCUUCGGACCUUGCGCGAUUGAAUGAGCCGAUGUCGGAUUAGCUAGUUGGCGGGGUAAAGGCCCACCAAGGCGACGAUCCGUAGCUGGUCUGAGAGGAUGAUCGGCCACACUGGAACUGAGACACGGUCCAGACUCCUACGGGAGGCAGCAGUGGGGAAUAUUGGGCAAUGGGCGCAAGCCUGAUCCAGCCAUACCGCGUGAGUGAAGAAGGCCUUCGGGUUGUAAAGCCCUUUUGUUGGGAAAGAAAAGCAGCAGGUUAAUACCCCGCUGUUCUGACGGUACCCAAAGAAUAAGCACCGGCUAACUUCGUG